RNAcentral lists this long non-coding RNA (650 nucleotides) under Gallus gallus (chicken). RNAcentral's name for it is "long non-coding RNA NONGGAT001280". Lineage: Eukaryota; Metazoa; Chordata; Aves; Galliformes; Phasianidae. The record is from RNAcentral.
GCACAAUGUCUUAAAAUGUAAACUCCUGUGAAACAUGCAUGAAAGGGUAUGAAGAAGUUAGACUAGCUACAUAUACUCAAGAAAAACACGUGUAAGUCCUGACUCUAUGAUGAUGUGCUCUUGUUAAACCUGAGCUGACUUACCAGAGGGACGUAUGAGAUGGAGCACUGUAUCCACAUUUCUGUGUGACAUAAUCAUGAGCUUUCCUUCUCUCUGGCAGAGCAACCUGUCUGUAGAGCCCCGGUACAGCAGGGUGCUGGCCUGAAACCAAUGUUCUGUGGGACUGGAGCCAGAAACAGGAUCAGGGUUGCAGGAAGAACCCUGAAAAGAAAGGCUCUUCUUUCAGAAAGUGGAGCUCCAUGAGCUGUCGGCAUCCCAGGGGCAGAGCAGAGGCAGAUUUUGGCUGUGAAGUUGACCCAGCCAAUGCCACGCAGGACAAGGUGGCAUUGAGAAGGUCCACAGCAGCAGCAUGUGUGCUGGAGGGGAACCACAAGCCGUGAAGGAUAGGGCAAAAGUGCCCGCUUCAUAAAUACACAUAAACAAACAAAACAGCUCACCAGCAGACAAGUAAGUGGUCUCUGAUCCAGGCAAGCAUGAUUGUUUCUCCAAUUUCUUCCCUCUCUCCAUCCUCACCAGCUCUUCCAGUUGUU